AUUGAACGCUGGCGGCAGGCUUAACACAUGCAAGUCGAGCGGGGGAAGGUAGCUUGCUACCGGACCUAGCGGCGGACGGGUGAGUAAUGCUUAGGAAUCUGCCUAUUAGUGGGGGACAACAUCUCGAAAGGGAUGCUAAUACCGCAUACGUCCUACGGGAGAAAGCAGGGGCUCUUCGGACCUUGCGCUAAUAGAUGAGCCUAAGUCGGAUUAGCUAGUUGGUGGGGUAAAGGCCUACCAAGGCGACGAUCUGUAGCGGGUCUGAGAGGAUGAUCGGCGACACGGGGACUGAGACACGGCCCAGACUCCUACGGGAGGCAGCAGUGGGGAAUAUUGGACAAUGGGGGGGACCCUGAUCCAGCCAUGCCGGGUGUGUGAAGAAGGCCUUAUGGUUGUAAAGCACUUUAAGCGAGGAGGAGGCUACUUUAGUUAAUACCUAGAGAUAGUGGACGUUACUCGCAGAAUAAGCACCGGCUAACUCUGUGCCAGCAGCCGCCGUAA
Molecule: ribosomal RNA, 501 nt
Filed under: uncultured bacterium
Lineage: Bacteria
Description: partial 16S ribosomal RNA
Rfam family: Bacterial small subunit ribosomal RNA
Source: RNAcentral